RNAcentral lists this ribosomal RNA (436 nucleotides) under uncultured bacterium. Its description in RNAcentral is "partial 16S ribosomal RNA". It matches the Rfam family "Bacterial small subunit ribosomal RNA", at positions 30 to 507 of the family's 1533-position model. The record is from RNAcentral.
GCGAACGCUGGCGGCAUGCUUAACCCAUGCAAGUCGCGCGGGUGGUUUCGGCCAUCAGCGGCGGACGGGUGAGUAUCGCGUAGGAAUGUAUCCCGAGGUGGGGGACAACCCUGGGAAACUGGGGCUAAUACCGCAUGGGGCCUGUGGGUCAAAGCCUUAGGGCGCCUUGGGAGCAGCCUGCGUCCGAUUAGGUAGUUGGUGGGGUAAAGGCCUACCAAGCCUGCGAUCGGUAGCUGGUCUGAGAGGACGAUCAGCCACACUGGGACUGAGACACGGCCCAGACUCCUACGGGAGGCAGCAGUGGGGAAUAUUGGACAAUGGGCGCAAGCCUGAUCCAGCAAUGCCGCGUGGGUGAAGAAGGUCUUCGGAUUGUAAAGCCCUUUCGGCGGGGACGAUGAUGACGGUACCCGCAGAAGAAGCCCCGGCUAACUUCGUG